CAAAGUUGUGACUCGGCUUAAAACUGUGUUAAAAUUCUGAAUGUUGGUUUUGAAUUACUUUACUGGCGGAAGAUCAUUAUCAAAAUGACUGCUUCUUCUUAAGAAAAGAGAUACUAUAAAGUCAUUUCUAUGGAUGUCUGUAUGCAUCAAAUGGAAAACUUCAUCACUUCAAGAGAAUGAAUGCAUGCACGAAACCCACAAUUCAUACAGAAAUAGCUGAACAGCAAGAUCUGUGUAUUAUGCCUUUGGAAGAAGGAGAUGGAGGGGAAAAGCAGGCUUGGAAGGAACCCUAAAAUAUUCUGUGGAAAAGUGAAUGACUGAACAGCAUAGCUGAAAGAAAUUAAAGGAAGUGGAGAAAGGACAAGCUUCUCAGUACCACAGCUACCCCCAUCUGAUGUAAAGAUUGCAAGUUAGUAACAUGCCAUAUUUUGUGUAAUGCUGUCCACAAUAAUUUCAAAGAAAAUCCCUUCUUUUUAUGAGAAUGAGGUUCCAAGCCGCUGCCAUAUUUUUCAGCCUGAACAAUUUCUAACAAGUUAUGUCAUACCACAUCUUCACAAUCAUUCAAGUUACAAAGCUACAUAUUCCCUUGCUUUAAGUGGAGCGAUCUGCUCACCUCAAUGUUCUCCACAACUGAUCAUAAAACUAACAAUGGUAGGGCACCAGAAGGUCAUUAUUUCUGCCUCUACUCCUUUCUGGUAACAUACCUUGAACCUCUUUAUAUUCUUUCUACAGAAGCAUUCUGUCUGUAUAGUCCUAGACUGAAUCUGCAGUGGUAUACUUGGACAUGAUUCAAUAUUCCCUUUUAAACUUUUAAAACUGUAUGGUUUCCUCACUUCAAUUUGAAGCUCUUCAAAAUUCUUCUAUAUGCAGACAUUAAGUACACUGAUGUAGCAGCAAUGAUCCUGUUGCUUCAAACUAACAGUACUGUUGGUUCAAACUCUAGAGACAAAAAACCUGAAGAAAGAUGGAGUGAAAUGGGAAUGUAGACACUAAGGAACUUGGAAGCUGUAUCAUAUUUAGUCAGGGUUCAGAUCAAAUAUAGUAUAUUAUACGCCAAGUCAUAAAAGAGUGUUGUUCAACAGGUGUCUGGAAGGAGUUUGAAGAUCCACGAUAUAUCACUUAUUGUGAAUGCCUACACACAGCGUUCACCUUUUGGGAACAAAGUGUGUUCAAAGGUACUUGUGGCUUGCAGGGCUGAAAGCUACUUUUUUAGAUUAGAUCUUCGUUGCUGAUAUGCAGCUAUAUGAACACAUGCUAUUUUGAGUGGAAAACAGAACAAAACAUUUUGCCAGUAUGCAGUAAAUAUGUCUCAUGCAGUUUUAGGUAUCUGCAAUACCUAAACUUAGGCUAAUCAGCGUAGACUUCCUUUAUAAGUAAAAGAAAGGCAAAGGCACUUUUAGGAUUUUUUUAUGGACUUCAGCAUGUAAAAAGUUCACUCUAGAAGAAACUGUUCUUCUUUACUGCAUAAAAAGGCAACCUAGAUGUCUAGAGCAAGUGUAGAUACCUACAGUUUACAUAGAUGUAUUUAAUAAGGUGAAUCCCAGCAACAGUGUUGGAGCUGACUUCACCUGUGGCCAGCAAAGGUCUUGACUUAUCUUGGCUGACCACCUGAUAGUAACUAAGUACUGGAAUUGUUUCUCACUUAGUGACUGAUGAGGAAAUGGAUUGGAUUUCACAUUAACUCUUGAUGUAUUUUGGUGCAGGAAAUAUUUAACAGGUGGUUGGGGGUUUGGGUUUUUUUGUUUGUUUGGGUUUUUCUCAUCUAGUUUGCAGUAUGAACAUGAGCAGAUAGUCUUUAUUAAAAACCCACAAAUCUGGCAUAUAUACAGCUAAUGAACUUCACAAGAAUAUUAGGAGGUAGAGAUAAACCCUAUCUCUAGAUUAUAGAGAAAACUUAAGAUAAAUUCUGCACAGGGUGGCAAAAGAUCAAAAGAAAAAAAAAAAAAAGAUCAAGAGAAAAAAUACUUGAAUUUACCAAAAAUUUGGGAUGUAUUAAUGGCAACAAAAGGAAUCAUUCUGUAAAAACCAAACUAUAGUACUUCCCAGUUUGUGCAGCAGGAUAAAAAAUGGGCAGUAUAAAAUUCACUGAGUAUUCAAGAUCCACAUUGAAAAAGUAACUUUAUGUGGCAAAACCUAAUGUCUUCAUAUCUAACUAUUAAAUGUGUGAAAUGGUAUUGAAUGUACUAAGCUAGGCUCCCUUGGUGCCAAUCAGAAGGACCUAUGCUCCUAUGAAUGAGCUAAACUAUCUUGUACACUGAAGCAACAUUUUGACAAUAGACAUGGAGGUAUGUCAUACCAGCACUAUUCACUUAUGUGGUAGUUCCUUUCUUUUUUAUACUUUUUUCUUUUUCUCUCCAGAAAGCUGAGGAUUAGAUUCUUACUAGACUUAAGAACCCAGAUCUCUCACUCUGUCUAGUCUCUGACCACUGACUAGUGGUGUAAUAAUGUAGCUUUAGCAACAGGCAGGAACCAGCAGCCAUAUUGAAUGAUAGAAAUCACGCUUGCAACGAUUUCUGUUAAAGGUAGUGCCAUCCAUGUAAGUAUUCUUCUGCAAUGUAGCUGUGGAGACACUUUGUUUGUCAGUCUGAAGUGGUGGUAGACAGGACAGGUGACUAAAUGAUUUCCCCUGAACUUCAGUGUUUUCAGACUUCAGCAUUUCAGCUACAGGAGCAUGUCUGGCAGCAAAAUGAAGAUACAUUUUUAGACUUCACCUUUAUCUCUGAUGGUGCUUGCAAGAACUCUAUUUUAUUCUCUCUUGUUCCAAGCCAGUAAAGAUAGGAUCUUUAUGUUGGACAUCCAGGUUCCUUUCUGUGAAGCAUGACCCUGAGAGGCCCCACGAUGUCUUUUGUAGCCAACUAAAAUGUAACAUGCCAAAAGCUAACAUUAACAUAAUUCAUGAUAUGGAUACUUAUAAUCAACUCAACACUAACCACACUAACACUGCACGAAAGACCCCUCCAGAAUUUGAGCCUUGCUGUAGUCUGGAGAUAUUAAGCCCUGGUGUACUGAAGCUGUGCAGUCCCACAUAUUCUGAAGCUUUAAGGGUUAAUUUAUUUCAUUUGUCCACUUAUUUAUCCACAAGUAGAGAUGACUCUAGCACUCUUAUUUUCAGUUUCUGUUGAACAAAUGUCAAGAGAAGACAAAACAUGCUUUGAAAGUGCCAUUCCGCAAAAUGCUAAGUAUGGACUAGAAUCUGAUUUGCCAUCAGUUUUUACCAAGUACUUUAAUAAUGAUCACAUUGCAUUGGAUAAGGUAAAUGUGGACUCGUGCUUGCAUAUCUAAACUUAUAUUUCAAAUCAAAGAAAGCAAAUUCAUGAUCAUUAAAUCGCAAUCAGUCAAGCAUCUAUAACAACAGGCCAGAUGUGCACUCACCUAUUUAGCUUCUAGUUGAGCUACUGCUUGAAAAUGAGAAAUACUCUAGAACAAGUAAAAUGGUCAGGUUUCUAUUCUAGUUUAAAGAAAUGUGGAAAUUAUGUAUAUGCUUUGAGAGCAUUUUUCUUCUGUCAUCCACAUGGAUUCUUUCACCUCAUUUCACUUGUAUGUGGCCUUUAGAUUCUGUAGCUGUAACUAUGAAUAAACAAACUCCAUAUUCUCAGGGUACAGCAAAGCAUUUGCUAGACCUUCUUUGGCAAUAGUGGUAAUUGUUUUCUUAUUAAAGUCAGUUAAUAGCACAUGUCGUCGUCCCCCCCCCCCCCCCCAAAUAAAGAAACAGAAAGUUACAUGCGUGAAAUAAAAAACAAAAAUUCUUCUCUAUUUCAGCUUGUGGAUGCUCAGGUAUUGUUAAUAUUGAUGCAUAAGCCAUGUGUUCUAUUUUAUCCAUACAAAAAGGAGAUGUUUCUAAGCAUUCCUGGAGUCAUCCAACAGCAACUUAGGGAACUGCAUACAUUUUCAUAGUAGAUCAGCAUUUGGACAUCUAAAUUAUCCCUUCAGUUUCUCAGCUUUUCCUAGCUGAAGAUAUGAAUCUUGCUAUUUGCUUUUCAUUUUACAUGUAUUUAUAUGUAGCAUCCAGUACGUGAUGGAAUACAAUGUGCUUGAGAGUUAUUUUUUUAUUCUCUAUCCAUUUCAAGCUAGGUAUGUAUAAGGACAGACUAUUCAAGCAGGCCGUCCAGCAUGUCUGGGAAGCUCAGUCCUUAAUGGCAGCCUCCAGUAUCAUAAGCAGCAGUCUUCUCCUGUUUUUUCCAUUUUCAGGGUUUAUAAGUUUUCAUCUGUUAUCAAGCUAGAUAUGCAUAUCCAUAUAUCAAUUAAAUCAUCAUUUAUAAGAGGUGAGACAUCAAUACCAAACAAAAGACAUAAACUCACAAAGAUGAAGAAACAUCAGUCAAAACCUGAAAUCAUACUGAAAGCCCAAAUUGUUAAGAAACCAAAACAUUGAUGCAAAUAAGAAGUAAUGUUCUUUUUUUAUUUACAUUCAGUUUUACAGCAUAUAGGGCUUCAAGUUUUAUUCUGCAUCCAGGAAGAUAAGAACUUUUUAAAAUGAAAAUUGAACUAUCAUAUGAUUGAAAAGGCACCUAAAAAAAAACUCCUACAAAAAUUGUUGUAUUUGGGAAGCCAUGGAAUAAAUCAAUGAGACAGCACACCGUACACAUUUCAAAUUCAGCUUUACUUAGCAGCAGUUUGUAAUUGGAGAACAGUUAAUUCUCAAAACCAUGGACUGAAAACACAGUGAAUUCAGAGAAAAGCCAUAAGUAAUUUCAUACAACAUCUUCCAUACAUUUCAAGGAAGUAGGUAAACCAGAAAUGAUUAUGUAAAAGAUGCAGGAACAAGAACAGCAAACCUUACAUAUGGGAAAUGAAAAUACAUAUUGGAAAAUUUACCGUUGAAAACCUUGAAAAGUAGAGAUUUGUUCGAUACUAAAAAAUUCAAGGAUUUCAAAAUAAACAAUAUGAAGACACCAGGAAAAGUAGCAGCAUCAACAAAAAGGGCUAAAGGUGUUGAGACAGUAGAUGAUUUUUGGUGAUGUAAGGAAAGAUGACAAAAAUAAAAGGACUAAAAUAGAUAAUUCUGUUUACUGACUUUUAAGGUCAGGAACUUGCUUUUAACCUCCAUGCUUGCUAUGAACGUAGCACUUAUUUGUUCUGCAGAAGAUUCAUUAUAAAACAAUGGGGAAGCAUAUGCUGGUUUUGAACUCAAGGAGAAUAUCAAAGCAGAAUGUCAUAAAAAUAGGCUGUUUGUAAAGGUCAAAACAUUUGAGUUAAGAAGACAAAAAUAUAUUUAACUAUUUGAAUAUAAACUUUGUUUACAGAAAUUUAUAGCAAUUUCUGUAUGUGAAAGGAAAAACCCCACCAUUAGUACUUUCUGAAAGCCAAUGCUCUCAUAAUGUCUUGUGUCUUUAAGUUUAAAUGUAUAUAUGCAUAUGCACAUAUAUAAUUUCCUGAAUAGAUUACUUUGGAAUUUGGUUUCCAUAAAGCUACAGCAUGGCCAUCUGAAAAAUUUCCAUCCGUGUAUCAUCGUCUUUUCAGAGAACAGUAGAGGUUAAUGUUUCAGUGUGUGUAUACAUCUAUGUUUGGUGUUGAUUUUAUUUGUAUAUAUUUGUGUUGGAGACCCAUAAAUGCUGUCAUUGUAGCCCAUUUGAUGCAUCUAGCCCAUUCUAUUUGCCUUCGAUAGCUGGCAACAGAUGUUACAACUUGUAACAGAUGUUGUAUUUCCUGUACAUUAAAGUAGAACUGGUGCUGAAGAAAUCAUCAAAACAGAAAGAGAAGGUAGAAUCUGCCAUUCCCAAAGAACAUUUAUUGAGAUCCACAGGUCUGGAUAACAGCACAUGCCAAGGGAACUAUUUAGCUUUCUGUUGUCGAUCUCUUUAUAACAGACUGUAGCUCAGUUCUAGCCUAACAUUCUCAUCUUUGUUUCCUAUCUGGUCACCUCUGCUGUUUUAGUUUGGUUGUCCCACAGCAUGGGAUUUUUGAUACGAUCAUCUUGUCUCAUUGUUUUACCACACUAUAAUCAGAACCAAGAAUUCAUAAUUGUAAUACAACUCCAGUUUAACUAAUUUAUUGAGCUUCUGCUGAGGUUGGAAGUUUUGGGCAGGGUUUUUUGGUAUUUGUUUGGGGGUUUUUUUGUAGUUGUUUUUUUUUUCUUUCACUUGUAUAAGGACAAAUAAUUAAAUGCUGGUUUUUUAAAACAAAAACCUGUAAUUAAGUGGGAAAUUUCUAGAAGACACAUUUCAACAGAGUUUUCCAAAGAGCUGUCUCCUCAUUCUUCCUCUCCCCCCAAAUCAGCAUACUGGAAGUAUGCAUUUGUUCUGUAGUAAUGAGAAGUUAAUUUACAGUUUCUUCAUUCCUUAUUUGGAGAAAUCUAUAUGAAGAGGGGAAAUUAUUUUUGGUCUAGGAACAUAUGGGAGAAAUGGGAGAAAUCACAUCUCACAUUAACCAUGAUCUUCUAACUCAGAAUAAAGACAAAGAUACUAAAGAGGAGCUAUCUGAUCAUCUUUGUAUCUUUUGAAGGUAUAGUUAAAUAGCAUCACGUUUCUCCCAUUGUUCUGUCUAGUUCUCCUUAUUAUUGUGAUUACAUCUUCAACAUUCUUAUUCUCUUCUGUUGUCUAUGCAAGUUGAUUUCUCAGUUUGAUAGAGCAUAAGGACUUGGGCUGUAAUUCACUUUAUAUUGUCAAUAUCAGUUUGACUACACCCUCUUCUACAUUCCACAAGGAAUUUAUUAUCUUCAGUCUUGCAUUUGUUGGAUCAAGUUGCUAGAUACCAUAAGGUGUUAAAAGUCUACUAAACUUCUUCUAUUGAUAAAUCUGUUUCACAGUUACUGCCCAGAAAAAGCUAUUGAGAACAGUCAAUGUUAUACUAAAUACUUUGCUUAGAUACUGGGUUGUGGAAAAAAAUAGAGCGUGCAACCUUUUUUGGAAAAGCGGUAUCUUAAAAUGGUUUAGAUUACAAAUUUCAAAAAAACCAAUUGUUUGUACAUAUUGUCAUUAUUUCAUAUUGCUUAUGCUUCUUAUUCACAAAACUUUGAACCUCAGGUUCUCAGUUCAGGGGUCCUAAAAAUCUUCUAUCUUACUGUGAUAAAAAGUAAACCUUUUUGCAGCAUAGGUACAUUUCAAAACCCAAAUAUACCCAGUUCCUCCUAUACAAAUGCAAGAGUUUAAGUUCAGAUUACUUUUAAGCUGUUAAUAUUGCUUGUCUGCUCACCAGAAAAACUUACUGGAGGAAAUUGACUGGUUUAACUGACCAAAGCUGAAAUAAUUUUGUAAAAAUAAAAGGUAUGGAUAAUUUUCUGUGCUGCAUUCAUCAGAGAAAAAUGAGACAGUCUCUAAAGAAAAAUUCUGCUUUCUAACCACAAUUAUCACUGCAGAUUUCUUGUCAUCAAUGUAAGUUUAUCAAUAACAUAUACAUACACGCAUUGUGAAAAUAUAUUUUUGUAUUUUUCAUUUCAACAUUACAUCAAAAUACCAUUUUCAAUCUCCAAGACUGAAAGGCACAAUCAGACAUGCUGAUCAUAUCAGUGUGCAAAGACAGCUGUAUGAUAAAUAUUCUAAGUAAAUUUCUGAACUUCAUAAUAACAAAGAUGCUGUGGUCAAAUUGUUGUGCUCAGAUUUCUGAAUAAUUCUUAUUUGGACACGCAGGGAGGCAUUGAGUGUAUUCACACCCCGACAUGAGCAAUCAGGAGCAGGGUGCUUAGCACCUUGCAAGUUACUGGUGCUCAGCACUUUUGGAAGAAAGUGCACUUUUGCAAGUGUGUCCACAGGGUACUAUGAUGCAGCAUGAUGCUGCAAUACCUAAAGUAGCUGUUACUAACUUAGUUUGUGUACCAGAAACAGUACUUCCACGUUCAUUAUGCCUGGGCUAAUUAUAGGGCUGAAAAGUCUUUUGAGGGAAAACCCUAGAAAGUGUGACGCACCUGGAAGGAGAGAUGAUGAUGGAAUAAAAUAAAAUCAGAAAAUAUUUUGAAGAUAAGUAGAGGAAGUAUAAUUUGAGACUUUUCUUGACAACUUUUUUCAUUGAACACCUCUUAUCUUACAAGGUGGAGCAAGAUUUGUUCAUUUUAAUUCAUGGGGGGUUGUUGGUUUUUCUUUUAAAAAAAAAAAGAGGCCAGGGUAUUUUUUGAUAAUUAGCAUUUGAUCAGAGCUGAAAAUAUAGAAUAUAAUAUUGUUUGCUCACGUAGGGAAAUGGUGCAGCCAAGGUUAAAAAUAGCUUUACCGUUGCUCAAAAGGAACAUGACUAAGCUGAAUUAAUGUGUAAUUCUACAAAACAUUUUUUAAAGGUGUAUCUAACAGUCAUAACUCUUAUAUGUGUUAAGGACUAAAAUAAUUUCUUAGAGAAGGAUGAGAUAUUUUUAUUUCUUUCUCUUCGCAAAAAUUCUAAUUUUACCUCUGCAUUUGUUUUGUAUUUUUCCCAUUUAAAUCAUAAUGUUAGGUUAAAGUAUAUCAAAUUAUUUGGCACACCAGCCAAAUUAUUUAGGGCAUUUUUAAUUUUUAGUGUAUCAUUCCAUGACAAAAAGAAAGAUGCCAGAUUUCUUCACUGUGUAAUGUCUAUAGCUUUUUUCAUUUUAAUAAUUCUGAGUGAUCAUAGUCUACUUAUUGAACUUAACACUGUCAUAUUUUUUAUUGUGAAAAUGACCAAACUGAAGCUGCAACAACUCAUUUUCAAAGCUGCUUGAUAUCUCUUUUCACAUGCACACGUGUAAUGCUGACAAUUCAUCAUUAUUAGCUUCAUUUUUAAUAUCCCAGUUAAGAUUAACAGUUGUAACACAUUGCUGUGCAAGUUUCUAACUUUACAAAUGUGCUUUCUUUAAGAAAAAUCAUCACUUGAAAUUUACAUAGUUAAAUUUUCCUAAAUAAAAGGAUGAAGAUAGCAAAUGUAAUUGUUUGCAUAAAAGUUUGAGGGUAUUUUUAAUCUUAAAGUAGUGGCUUGUGAUUGUUGAAAUAUAUGAAACUAUGCUGUUGGUUUAUUUCCUGAAGAAGCAAGCAGCUUUUACAAAUUAAACUCAUUUAACAGCUCUGUUGACAAUGACAACAAAAUUGGGAAAAAUAUACCACUAUCUCUCAUGGACACUUUUUUCCUUCAGGUUUAACGAAUAAGGAUUAUAUCAAACAGAUCUUGUUAAUCAAUAGUGUAGAUAUGACACGGAUGAUAUACAAGAAGCAGAUCCACUGAGUAAGCAGUCUAUUUCUACAGUCACACUUCACACUGUAAAAUAGAUUGGUCAAAUUCAAUCCUAUUGUAACGAGAACUCCCUGGCAGUAGAGUUUUGCUUUCUUCCACUAAAACAACAGGCUCUCUCAUCAUUUUGGAAGACAUGCAUAACAUACUAAAAAGAAAAAUUUUAAGCCUAUGUUUAAAAGAUAUUAUUUGCCACAGAAUUUCAAGGAGUCUCUUAAAGCAAAACAAUUAACAAUAUGUUUGAAUAAAUUACAUUUGUUUAAAUUUAAUUAAGGCAUAUUAUGGCAUUUAAUAAAAAUAUAUCUGUCCUCUCAACAUGCAAGUUUUCUGCGAUUUCUGAAUUUUUAAUUUUCAAAUACUAUUUCUUGGAUCCUUCAAAACAGCAUUUGUUCAUUAUAAUUAUAUCUGUAGUUUCGUUCACUCCAUACAUUCAUAUUUGUAAUUGUUCCUAUAUUUUGCUAUUUUCAGAUAAAAUUAUGAGAUUAAAAAGUGUGGAUUUAUUUUGUUCUGAAAACCCAGUAAGAUCUAGAUUCAAUUUUUUUCAAAUUUACUCUGCUAAUAAACACCAUAUGUAAAGGGCACGAAAGUGACUUGUAGUAUCUGAAAGCUUGUGGAACGUGACAUUUGUUUUGCUGUAGUUCAAUAUUUUAAGUUGCAUGCUACAAUUUGGCACAGCUCUUGAACACACAUAUGAUAUUCAGUUAAGAUGAAUCUCCGUUCAUGAAAGAAUCUGGACUAGCUUCUGCUGUCUGCAGACUGUACUGCAAAAAUGUAACUGAGACACAGCAGUAAUGUGCACAACUGGAGAAGGGUUUGCUGACAAAAGGUGAUAAAAUUUGCCUAAAUGUAGUUGAAAAUACAUCUUUAUUUGCUACCGAUACAUACGCAUCUAUCUGCACAACUAGACUGCAUGCCUAAAAUAUGUGUCACAAAUGGUUGUCAAACUCAUUAAUCAAAGGUGCUGACACUGAACCACUUUUUCUCCUUUUUCUCCACUCUGCUACUGCAAAUGUUAGCGGACCUGAUAGCUCUUGUCCAAGCCUCCAUCUCUGGCAGACAUUGAAUUACCUUUUCUACUGAAGCAAUGUGAAUCAUAGAAAAGGAGACAUGCAAAAUGGCAAGUUGUGUGUUGUCAGCACAGUGACAGCAUCUAGUUCAGUAUCUCAUUUCUAAACUUCUCAGUGGUUUCCCUACCACUUUGAGUAGGAGGAAAAAAGAGCAGGUAAGGAAUAGUCAUAGAAUUAGGCAAAAAGUUGUCACUCUACACUUACUGAGGGUGUGGGCUAGUCAAGAAUACCUUCCAAGCAACAGAGCAUUCCUCAAUUCAAGUCAGGUGAACUGAAACAUACAGACAACUUGUUAUUUGCAACAUCUAGUGAAAAUCACCAUUAGAAUAAUAAAAAUAUUUUUAGUUCAGUGCCUGAAGCCAUCUAAAAUGGGAAUUAAGCAAUUCAGAAGCAUUUCCUCUUAUGAAAGGUCCUAUCAUCCUCUCUUCUAGAACCAGUGUAUUCAACACAGCUUGUAACAGUUCUAAAUUCUCACAAGUUGAUGACCUGACAAAAGGAUAUUCAUCUAUGUGCACACUGAUGUCACCAAGAACCUUCAGUCUCACUAACACAAAGCUAGAGAAAUCUACAGUCUUGGCCAAAUACUCCACAGUAGACUAUGGCAAGCUGAACGCUUAUGGCGUGACUACCAUUUUUUAUUGGUGUAUACAUGCAUCCACACAUAUGCUUAUUUUAGUAUAGUAUUUUAAGCACAGUCCCAUAAUGAAGGAUGGAGUCACCUGUGGCCUUCGAUAUAUAUGUAUGAACAGCCAUCCACUUGAAUUUACUGUGACAUUUCUCACUAACAAGAGUGAGUGCUUUUGAAAGUCUGCACACAGCUAGCCCAGAUGCCCAGGUGAUGCUGAAAAGAAUGAAAUUACUGUAUUUCACUGCAAUAGAGUGAGAUGGUUGAACUAAAGCUACAUUAAAAGGGGAGGAAAUAAACACCUGAAGUUUGUUCCUACCUUGACUAAGGUCUUAAAAUUAUUUAAAAUAAGGAGAUACAGUUGCAUGUAUAUCCUUUUCAUCUAUACCCUUCUCACAACUCCCUACCUCAGAAAAAGGGACGGUUGCAUCACAGGGCUUUGCAGGAGCUGAGGAUGGAGAGGACAAGAAGGACAAAUCAUCUGCAGAAGUGCAAAUUAAAGGUAGGGAGUGACAUGAUGGAGAGCAUGCAGCUCACAGAGGCUGGCAUGCACUUCCAGAUGCACCCCUAAGGAGGGGUUGUCAAAGGAUGUCUUGGAUGUGUAACAGUCAUUGCCCAUAGAGAUGCAAGCAAUGAGUGGAAGUAUAACAUUUAAUACUGCCUGUUGUCUGUGAACAGAUGUUUGUUAAGUCAUCUCAGUCCAUUGUGCAACCCUAAUAUUCAGGACUCUGGUUGGACAGCAGAGUUUGGUCAACAAAGUUGUCAAAUGCUUCAAGAAACAUUAGCAUUGGCUCCUCUCAGGCAUUACUUUGGUCCUGGUGCCAUGUGGUGCUUUACUCAUUGACUAACUUCAGGGUCAAAGGUCACCAACAGAACAGGGAUCUCAGAAGGACCUGAAGUACAAUUUAACAUCAGUUCUGCAGAUUCAGAGGACAGCCAGAAGCAUAAAAUUCUUAAAUAUAAAUAUGAAAAAGUUUACAGAUAUUUUUCUGAAGAAUAUCUACAGGUGUUAUUGUAACAUUCAAAAGAUCCCACUGUGUCUUAGUAUUCAGCCAAUGCUCUCACAUGAACAUAUAGUGUCUCUGAAAUCCCCAUUCUUUUCACUACUCAUAAUUUUACCUUCAUUACACAGUUAAGUCCCUCUUCCACACUAAUUCUCACUCUCCCUUAGUCUAUUUCUCAUUAUAUUCCCAAAUCCUUACAGUACAUGUGUUGUCCCAGUUCUUCCAUAUACUGUUUUCAUCAUUUCCACUCCUUCGUUAUUCAUCUUCAUUCUCUAAUUAAUCCAAGAGACGGGUAGCUGUAUGAAGCAUAAGGGUUAGCUAACCCAGGCAACAGAAUCCCCCCCAAAUAACGUCUCUGUAACUGCACAUAUUCCAGUAUUGUUCUUACAUACCUGUGAAGGUAUAUUACAUAAUUAUAUGCGUUAAUGCACCAGGAUUCAUUCGUAUGCAACAGUGGAAAAACUAUGCCAUGAAGUGUGGAGAGGGGAUUUUGGGAAAGGGCACAACAGCCAUUUUGUUUUAGAUCUCCUGGCAUGUUCUUUAUUUAGCCUCGAUAAAGCACCAUGAGGCUUGAAACCAUGCUCUUAGUCAUUUUGAAUGUUCACAGAGCAGAAAAAAAAAAAAAAGAAAAAAAAAAGCACAUGCUUUUUGCAUGGAUGCAAUGGGAACAGAAGGCAAGAAUUACAUCUACCAGUACCUAGAAAGUCUACGGUAUGGAUGGAUUUAUUGGACAUUUGUAAAAACAGUGUCAGAGCACAAUUUUAUCCUGGAAAGAUCCUGUCCCCUAUCACUCUCAGGCUUUUCCUCCCUCUUUUUUCGAGCCUCCUCUUUAGCAUCUUGUUCUUACUUUCAAACUACUUCCUUUUAAAGACCACUCUUACACUGUGCUUCCCCCCCCCCCCCCCCCCCCGUUUUUACAUUCAGUUUGUUCAGAAGUAAAUCCCGUGGCUUCUCCUAUUUUCCAGCUGUUUAGUGCAUGCUACCUCUCUCUAGACUGAAUAUUUAAGAGAGCACAGGGAACUUAGGUACUGAGAAAAGGAAAGGCAGUGAACAGCUUGAAACAGUAAGCAGUGUGAGAGUUUCAAUAGCCGAGAAAGUAAAAUUGUGAGACAGAGGACGGCGUGGUUGAAGACGAAGCAGCUUAUUUUCAGUCCUCCUUUUCCCAGCAACACGUUUGCUUCCUAUAGCUAAGUCUGGAUUGCACUAACAGUACCAUCUCUCCAAAUUAUUUCGGAAUAGCCCAAUAUCCUAAGAAGGAGUAUUUCUGUAAGAGUUUCUCAUCAGCAUUCUCAAGAAACCUAGAGAACACCUUGCAGCAAAACCUGGAUCCCUAAAAAUCACAUAAGCAGAUGCUUUUGGCCAGUUUAAGGGGGUGGGUGGGGGGUAAGAGUCCUUCUGCCUGUGCCCAGCCACUCCACCCUCAGAGCACGCAAAUCUUGAGCCACAGAGGACAGAGGUAAGAGAAACACUGCUGUAAAUUUAACACUUUCCAGUUAUAAACAUUCCUUCUUUCCAUGCCGCUUCAUCUCUGCAGAUGCUGAAAUAUACCUGUGAAUUAAGAGAUUUCUAUACCUCAAAUGAAACUGAUGAACAAAAGGAAACAUUUUUACAAGUGAAAUGAACAGGCGAAGUCUGUGCAAACACAGAUCUGCAGAUAGGAUAACAUUAUAAACACCAGGAAAUAAAAUCAAUGGUUGAAUGACAACAGUACCAAACUCCCCAAAAAUAAUGGUCAGCUAUAGCUGUUUAACUGCCUGUGACUGAGGACUCUAUCUUGUUAUAACUCAACUCCCAACAGAGUACAUGCCUCCUUCUAAAUAUAAGUAAUCAAAAUCAUGAUUUGUGUGUACUUGUGUAUGAUAAAACCUGCAGGAAUUAAAGGCUUGAUUAAAAAAACGGUAUGACUGGAAAGUGUAUUUUAAUCCUAAAAACAGAGAAGUCUCUCUACACCACUUUGUUUGCUAUGUUGUCAAUUCUAUUUAGCGUUCUUGAAACUUUAAGCGGAAUAACAAGAAUUAGCUCUGAAAAAUCAGUUAAUUCCAAAACGUUUUGCUUUUAGACAAGUCUUUUUUGAAAAAAAUUGUAACUGGCUCAUGGCAGUGAUAAGUAAAUAUAAAAUGGCAUUUCGGUUUUUUUUCAUCCUGUUUUCCUCUUUCUGACUGAAAUCUACUAAAGCCGUCACCUCUGCUAAAGAUGAAGUUUGUAAAUUUCUGAAAUAAUAAUACAAUUUUUUAAAAAAAUAUUUUUUUUAAAGUUGGGAGUAAAACGCCAAACUAGAGCACCUUCUGUUGGUCUGUCACUAAUCAGUUGUUAUUUUUUAGAAACAAACAACCCUAAAAUCACCCAAAAGAAUGUUGCAAACUUUUUUUUAAUAAUCCUCGCUCCCUUUAGUCUAGGAACUGCAAAUGGACAAGGAGCUGGCAUCACUACUACAUAUCUCAUUAAAUAAUGAUGUUUGUUUAACAAACUUAUGGAAGUUUUUACUUCUGAUUUUUUUCUUUUCUUUUUGGGGGAAGCUUGCUAAAUUAGCUAGUUCCUAAGAUUUCUUAGUAGCAUGUGACUUGAGUGAUGUACAAAAAAUACCGAUUUAUUCCAUAUUCUUUAUAACAACUAAAAUAGAGAAGACUGGCCUUGGCUAAGGUGUCAGCCUUGGCUUAGAAAGAUCUGUUCUGCUCCUUAUUAUAGCAGAUUCUUACUCUGUUACGAGGGAAUAGUAAUUGCCAUGUCACUGUGCUGUGAAGGUAAAUAUUGUGAUAAAUGUAAUGUACAGCUACCGUCGUAAAGAAAAAUAAGAUGGGCAGCACUCUCAUAAAGGACCAACAGAUGAGUUAGCACAUGCUAAAGGAGAGUGGCCUUAGGGCCUCCAUUUCUGAGUAUUUUCUGCAACUACGAAACAGUGUUCACUGCUUAAGGAACUUCCACUUUAAGGAAAUUCAUAGUUGUGUCAGUUUUCCUCUUUGGAAAUCUGUUCACUUAGUGGAAUCUACUCCCAAGUAUUCAAAGAAAGUUAGCCAUAGGAGAACCCACUAGAGCUCUGAAACACAAAAUUCAGCCACAUGCGUGCUCAUGGAUAACCCAUGUGCCCAGGGGCUUUAUGAAGACCAUUCCACUGGUUUCAGUGGAAGCCAGACUGGAUCCUAGAAGCUUCUGGAUCUGUCAAAUACUACAUUUAAUUUUCUUCAUCACUGCCAUGUUUCUUCUAGGUGUGGUGAGAGGAACACAGACACCUAGGUCCUGAAUUUAGUGUAUCCCUUCUGUUGCACAUGAAUAAAGUCACAGAAAAAAUAUCAGUCUUGUAUUCUUUCUCACGCUUUUGUUGGCUCAGAGCACAGUUUCGUAUAAAGUGAUGCUACUUUCCCUAUCACUUAACUUAAUCUAGAUUCUGAGGAGACAAGAUACUUGCCCAGCUCUGCGAAAGCAAUCUGGAAUCUUUUGAUAUGA
Molecule: long non-coding RNA, 15239 nt
Organism: Falco peregrinus (peregrine falcon)
Lineage: Eukaryota; Metazoa; Chordata; Aves; Falconiformes; Falconidae
Exons: 4
Source: RefSeq, a predicted model, not a curated record